Tinamus guttatus (white-throated tinamou) is the source of this 163-nucleotide non-coding RNA. The record is from RefSeq and is a predicted model, not a curated record. NCBI's taxonomy places the organism in Eukaryota, Metazoa, Chordata, Aves, Tinamiformes, Tinamidae.
GACAUUUCCUGUAUGUUCAUCAAAUAUUAGCAUUGUUUUAAUUUCAAGCGUUUAUGUCAUUGUGAUAGAGAAGAUGAACUGUCCAUGAAGGAAUGAAUUUAAGUGAUUUUUUUUAAUGUCUGUGCAGUCUUAAUAACAAAUUGACAAAUAUAAAACAUUUAUC